This 484-nucleotide ribosomal RNA is filed under the name uncultured bacterium. RNAcentral's name for it is "partial 16S ribosomal RNA". It matches the Rfam family "Bacterial small subunit ribosomal RNA", at positions 29 to 507 of the family's 1533-position model. The record is from RNAcentral.
AUUGAACGCUGGCGGAAUGCUUUACACAUGCAAGUCGAGCGGCAGCACGGGGGCAACCCUGGUGGCGAGCGGCGAACGGGUGAGUAAUACAUCGGAACAUGCCCAGUCGUGGGGGAUAACACUUCGAAAGAAGUGCUAAUACCGCAUACGUCCUGAGGGAGAAAGCGGGGGAUCGCAAGACCUCGCGCGAUUGGAGUGGCCGAUGUCAGAUUAGCUAGUUGGUGGGGUAAAGGCCUACCAAGGCAACGAUCUGUAGCUGGUCUGAGAGGAUGAUCAGCCAGACUGGGACUGAGACACGGCACAGACUCCGACGGGAGGCAGCAGUGGGGAAUUUUAGACAAUGGGGGAGACGCUGAUCCAGCGAUUCCGCGUGAGUGAAGAAGGACUUCGGGUUGUAAAGCUCUUUCGGCAGGAACGAAACGGCGAGCUCUAACAUAGCUUGCUAAUGACGGUACCUGAAGAAGAAGCACCGGCUAACUACGUG